This 497-nucleotide ribosomal RNA is filed under the name uncultured bacterium. RNAcentral's name for it is "partial 16S ribosomal RNA". It matches the Rfam family "Bacterial small subunit ribosomal RNA", at positions 28 to 507 of the family's 1533-position model. The record is from RNAcentral.
GAUGAACGCUGGCGGCGUGCCUAAUACAUGCAAGUCGAGCGAACGGACGAGAAGCUUGCUUCUCUGAUGUUAGCGGCGGACGGGUGAGUAACACGUGGAUAACCUACCUAUAAGACUGGGAUAACUUCGGGAAACCGGAGCUAAUACCGGAUAAUAUUUUGAACCGCAUGGUUCAAAAGUGAAAGACGGUCUUGCGGUCUCUUAUAGAUGGAUCCGCGCUGCAUUAGCUAGUUGGUAAGGUAACGGCUUACCAAGGCAACGAUGCAUAGCCGACCUGAGAGGGUGAUCGGCCACACUGGAACUGAGACACGGUCCAGACUCCUACGGGAGGCAGCAGUAGGGAAUCUUCCGCAAUGGGCGAAAGCCUGACGGAGCAACGCCGCGUGAGUGAUGAAGGUCUUCGGAUCGUAAAACUCUGUUAUUAGGGAAGAACAUAUGUGUAAGUAACUGUGCACAUCUUGACGGUACCUAAUCAGAAAGCCACGGCUAACUACGUG